RNAcentral lists this ribosomal RNA (465 nucleotides) under uncultured bacterium. RNAcentral's name for it is "partial 16S ribosomal RNA". It matches the Rfam family "Bacterial small subunit ribosomal RNA", at positions 339 to 795 of the family's 1533-position model. The record is from RNAcentral.
CUACGGGAUGCUGCAGUGAGGAAUUUUGCGCAAUGGGGGGAACCCUGACGCAGCAACGCCGCGUGAGUGAUGAAGGCUUUCGGGUCGUAAAGCUCUGUCAAGUGGGAAGAACCUAUGCAGUGUUAAUAUCACUGUAUACUGACGGUACCACUGAAGGAAGCACCGGCUAACUCCGUGCCAGCAGCCGCGGUAAUACGGGGGGUGCAAGCGUUAUUCGGAAUCAUUGGGCGUAAAGGGCACGUAGGCGGCUUGGUAAGUCGGAUGUGAAAGCCCGGGGCUUAACCCCGGAAGUGCAUUUGAUACUGUCAGGCUUGAGUAUGGGAGAGGGAAGUGGAAUUCCUGGUGUAGAGGUGAAAUUCGUAGAUAUCAGGAGGAACACCGGUGGCGAAGGCGAAUUCCUGGACCAAUACUGACGCUGAGGUGCGAAGGCGUGGGUAGCAAACAGGAUUAGAUACCCUCGUAGUC